GAUAGAUAAAAUGCCGGCAUCGGAAUCGUAUCGACUGACGCAUCCCGAGUUGAUGCUAGAAUCCGAGCUGAGAGAAAUAUUAGAAAACGAGUCUCCAGCAAAGAAGAGACAGAAAAUUACAUGGCCAUGAGAACACUGGAUUGCUUACCUUAAUUCUCAUAAGAUAAAACUGGGGACAAACGUACUGCAAAAUAUAAUUUUGCAAUAUUUGUACUGUUUUACAAGUACGAGAAUGUUACAGAAGACUUCGUACAUUACAAUAAUGAAUUAUGUAUAUAGAUUUAUUCUCCUAGCAUGACGGGAAUGUACUUAUUGUACAGGAGAGCAGGCUGCUUCGUAGUUUGAGCAUAGAGAUCAAUUUUUUAAUCAAAUGAAUUAAGGUUUUAAACAGUAUUUUAAAACCAAUUUCGUCAUCAAUAUACGAGAGUAUUAAUAGAAUCUGUUAUUUGUUAAUCGUAGCUUCUAAUUUAUACAAAUGAAAUACAAGAUUUUAAGACAG
This is a long non-coding RNA of Ceratina calcarata, 499 nucleotides long. RefSeq lists it as uncharacterized. The record is from RefSeq and is a predicted model, not a curated record. NCBI's taxonomy places the organism in Eukaryota, Metazoa, Arthropoda, Insecta, Hymenoptera, Apidae. The transcript is spliced from 2 exons.